This 301-nucleotide ribosomal RNA is filed under the name uncultured bacterium. RNAcentral's name for it is "partial 16S ribosomal RNA". It matches the Rfam family "Bacterial small subunit ribosomal RNA", at positions 509 to 808 of the family's 1533-position model. The record is from RNAcentral.
CAGAGCCGCGGUAAUGCGUAGGCGGCAAGCGUUGUCCGGAAUUAUUGGGCGUAAAGGGCUCGCAGGCGGUUUCUUAAGUCUGAUGUGAAAGCCCCCGGCUCAACCGGGGAGGGUCAUUGGAAACUGGGAAACUUGAGUGCAGAAGAGGAGAGUGGAAUUCCACGUGUAGCGGUGAAAUGCGUAGAGAUGUGGAGGAACACCAGUGGCGAAGGCGACUCUCUGGUCUGUAACUGACGCUGAGGAGCGAAAGCGUGGGGAGCGAACAGGAUUAGAUACCCCUGUAGUCCCUGUCUCUUAUACA